GUCAUUUAUUAUCAAGUGUUAUGUACUAUACAUAACUGGAUGUGCUAUACUUUUAUUAUACAACUGGCAGCGCAAUUUGUUUACACCAGCAUAACCACAUACAUGUAAGUCAUGCCUUGCACUAUGAUGUUACCAUUGCUGCACUAUCACUAGGUAAUAGGAAUUUUUCAGCUCCGUUAGAAUCCGAUGGGACCACCGUUGUCUCUGUGGUCUGUCAUUGACUGAAACAUCAUUAUUUGGUGCAUGACUGUAGAACUUUAAGCAAUGAUGAAAAUGCUCUAUAUCUACACUGUCCUAUACAGUAACCACUAGCCACUUGUGACUACUGAGUAUCUGAAAGGUUCUGCUUGAAUUCUUCCCCUGGCUCUUGGCGAAGGGUCGGCCUGCCUGGAUCUGAGUCAUCCACCUAUAAGAGGGACACCACCACACAUUGGUCACUGCUCUCAAGCCCCUGGAAUACCACCCCACUUGGCUUCUCCUAAGAUGGGCUCUCACUAUAGCCCUGGUCUGGAACUCCUGGGCUCAAGCCAUCCUCCCACUUUGGCCUCCCAAAAUGCUGGGAUUACAGGCGUGAACCACCACAUCUAGCCUAAAAUUAUAUUGUCAAAAGACUUUGUUUCUCAGUUUGGGAUAACCAGAACUCAUAGUUCUGAUCUCAACUACCAGUUUUAAUGAGGUGCUUCUUUCUAACUCCAUCAGCUGUUUCGCUAUUUGCAGAUACCACCCACAUAAACAAAAACUUUCUGGGAGUCCUCCAGAAUUUUUAAGAGUUAUCUAAACUAUUGCCUUUAACAACUGGGAACUCCGAUUUGAGAAGUGUUACCCUACGUUAAGCCAACAGCAGCCUGGCUCCUUCGUGCUGUGCAGUGUGGGACAGAGCUGGGUCCUUGUUGUCAUCAGCCAGACAAACACAUAUUAAAGCCCACCUUAGCCAUUGGCGUUAGAACUUUAAAAUCAGCUCCAUCCUACCAUGCUGUCAGUCAAUCAGGUGAUCUUAAUGACCAGAUCUACAUAUCCUCCCUCCAUGCCCCCACCCCCACCACCCACCAAC
Long non-coding RNA from Macaca mulatta (Rhesus monkey), 1051 nucleotides. RefSeq lists it as uncharacterized. NCBI's taxonomy places the organism in Eukaryota, Metazoa, Chordata, Mammalia, Primates, Cercopithecidae. The record is from RefSeq and is a predicted model, not a curated record.